This 727-nucleotide ribosomal RNA is filed under the name uncultured Rhodanobacter sp. RNAcentral describes it as "bacterial SSU rRNA". It matches the Rfam family "Bacterial small subunit ribosomal RNA", at positions 58 to 774 of the family's 1533-position model. The record is from RNAcentral. Lineage: Bacteria; Pseudomonadati; Pseudomonadota; Gammaproteobacteria; Lysobacterales; Rhodanobacteraceae.
CAAGUCGAACGGCAGCACAGAGGAGCUUGCUCCUUGGGUGGCGAGUGGCGGACGGGUGAGUAAUGCAUCGGGAUCUACCCUGACGUGGGGGAUAACCUCGGGAAACCGGGACUAAUACCGCAUACGUCCUACGGGAGAAAGCGGGGGACCUUCGGGCCUCGCGCGGCAGGACGAACCGAUGUGCGAUUAGCUAGUUGGCGGGGUAAUGGCCCACCAAGGCGACGAUCGCUAGCUGGUCUGAGAGGAUGAUCAGCCACACUGGGACUGAGACACGGCCCAGACUCCUACGGGAGGCAGCAGUGGGGAAUAUUGGACAAUGGGCGAAAGCCUGAUCCAGCAAUGCCGCGUGUGUGAAGAAGGCCCUCGGGUUGUAAAGCACUUUUAUCAGGAACGAAAUACCGCGGGUUAAUAACCUACGGGGCUGACGGUACCUGAGGAAUAAGCACCGGCUAACUUCGUGCCAGCAGCCGCGGUAAUACGAAGGGUGCAAGCGUUAAUCGGAAUUACUGGGCGUAAAGGGUGCGUAGGCGGUUAUUUAAGUCUGCCGUGAAAUCCCCGGGCUCAACCUGGGAAUGGCGGUGGAUACUGGAUAGCUAGAGUGUGUCAGAGGAUGGUGGAAUUCCCGGUGUAGCGGUGAAAUGCGUAGAGAUCGGGAGGAACAUCAGUGGCGAAGGCGGCCAUCUGGGACAACACUGACGCUGAAGCACGAAAGCGUGGGGAGCAAACA